GGGCGCAUAGCUCAGUUGGCUAGAGCGCACCCCUGAUAAGGGUGAGGUCCCAUGUUCGAGUCAUGGUGCGCCCA
This 74-nucleotide transfer RNA is filed under the name Singulisphaera rosea. Its description in RNAcentral is "tRNA-Ile". It matches the Rfam family "tRNA". From Rfam's summary of the family: Transfer RNA (tRNA) molecules are approximately 80 nucleotides in length. Their secondary structure includes four short double-helical elements and three loops (D, anti-codon, and T loops). Further hydrogen bonds mediate the characteristic L-shaped molecular structure. tRNAs have two regions of fundamental functional importance: the anti-codon, which is responsible for specific mRNA codon recognition, and the 3' end, to which the tRNAs corresponding amino acid is attached (by aminoacyl-tRNA synthetases). tRNAs cope with the degeneracy of the genetic code in two manners: having more than one tRNA (with a specific anti-codon) for a particular amino acid; and 'wobble' base-pairing, i.e. permitting non-standard base-pairing at the 3rd anti-codon position. RNAcentral also lists the same sequence under 3 other names. Lineage: Bacteria; Pseudomonadati; Planctomycetota; Planctomycetia; Isosphaerales; Isosphaeraceae. The record is from RNAcentral.